This 305-nucleotide ribosomal RNA is filed under the name uncultured bacterium. Its description in RNAcentral is "bacterial SSU rRNA". It matches the Rfam family "Bacterial small subunit ribosomal RNA", at positions 333 to 636 of the family's 1533-position model. The record is from RNAcentral.
CAUGGCCUACGGGAGGCAGCAGUGAGGAAUAUUGGUCAACGGGCGCGAGCCUGAACCAGCCAAGCCGCGUGAGGGAUGAAGGUACAGAGUAUCGUAAACCUCUUUUGUCAGGGAACAAAGGCGGGGACGUGUCCCCGGAUGAGUGUACCUGAAGAAAAAGCAUCGGCUAACUCCGUGCCAGCAGCCGCGGUAAUACGGAGGAUGCGAGCGUUAUCCGGAUUUAUUGGGUUUAAAGGGUGCGCAGGCGGUCUGUUAAGUCAGCGGUCAAAGCCCGGGGCUCAACCCCGGCCCGCCGUUGAAACUGG